GAUGAACGCUGGCGGCGUGCCUAAUACAUGCAAGUCGAGCGAACGGACGAGAAGCUUGUGUCUCUGAUGUUAGCGGCGGGCGGGUGAGUAACACGUGGAUAACCUACCUAUAAGACUGGAUAACUUCGGGAAACCGGAGCUAAUACCGGAUGAAAUUUUGAACCGCAUGGUUCAAAAGGGAAGGUCGGUCUGGCGGGCACUUAUAGGUGGAUCCUCGCUGCGUUAGCUAGUUGGUAAGGUAACGGCUUACCAAGGCAACGAUGCAUAGCCGACCUGAGAGGGUGAUAGGCCACACUGGAACGGGGACACGGUCCAUACGCCUACGAGACGCAGCAGUAGCGAAUCUUCCGCAAUGGGCGAAAGCCUGACGGAGCGACGCCGCGUGAGUGAUGAAGGUCUCCGGAUCGUAAAACUCUGUUAUGAGGGAAGAACAUAUGUGUCAGUAACUGUGCACAUCUUGACGGUACCGAAUCAGAAAGCCACGGCUAACUACGUG
Molecule: ribosomal RNA, 496 nt
Filed under: uncultured bacterium
Lineage: Bacteria
Description: partial 16S ribosomal RNA
Rfam family: Bacterial small subunit ribosomal RNA
Source: RNAcentral